Molecule: ribosomal RNA, 266 nt
Filed under: Bacillus thuringiensis
Lineage: Bacteria; Bacillati; Bacillota; Bacilli; Caryophanales; Bacillaceae
Description: partial 16S ribosomal RNA
Rfam family: Bacterial small subunit ribosomal RNA
Source: RNAcentral
UUGAACUGCAUGGUUCGAAAUUGAAAGGCGGCUUCGGCUGUCACUUAUGGAUGGACCCGCGUCGCAUUAGCUAGUUGGUGAGGUAACGGCUCACCAAGGCAACGAUGCGUAGCCGACCUGAGAGGGUGAUCGGCCACACUGGGACUGAGACACGGCCCAGACUCCUACGGGAGGCAGCAGUAGGGAAUCUUCCGCAAUGGACGAAAGUCUGACGGAGCAACGCCGCGUGAGUGAUGAGGGCUUUCGGGUCGUAAAACUCUGUUGUU